AAUUCUGACUAAGUGAUUUUCUCACUUGUAUCACAUGGCCAUAAUAUGUCUCUCUGUUCCUCUUAUCUCCUAGUGAUAACAUCAACAGUAAAACCCAAUCAUCAAAAGUAUAUACAUCAAAUUAAUUAAGAAGAUAUUGAAAUUGUCCUGACUUAUACUGUUUAUUAGACUGAAAGAUAAAUUCAGCAUUGUAGUGAUAAUAAUAUUAAAUGUGUACAAAGUUUUUGGUCCUAUGUGAGCACAACCAUAGGAACGAUAGUAUGAUCUGU
Molecule: long non-coding RNA, 269 nt
Filed under: Bos taurus (domestic cattle)
Lineage: Eukaryota; Metazoa; Chordata; Mammalia; Artiodactyla; Bovidae
Description: long non-coding RNA NONBTAT000231
Source: RNAcentral